UUCUCUCUUCUGCACAGCGUCCUCAAGCCAAUUUUCUCCCCUCUUCCUCGCGCAAAACUGAAAACUCAGCGCCCACAACCCAAAUUUCUUGCCAAAUCCGAACUCUCCUCCAAUCAAACCUGAAAACCCAGAAAAACCUCAGCCCACCAUCCCCAUCUCGCUUCGACAAAUACAAAAGAACCUCAUCCCCCAUCUCUGUGAAACACAUAACCCAUCUCAAUUACUUUUUCAAACCAUAGAUCCAAACCAGCCAAACCAUCUCAAUCCCUCUCAUGCUUCGUGUUGGUGUUGCAAUUGAGAAUAUUUCAUCGGUCUCAAUCCCUAUUGUUGGGAGUUUAUGGGUUUUCGUGGAUUUGAGAAGGAGAUGAUGGGAGAGUUGGGAAACGAAAGGCUAAUCUCCAGUUGAUAAGUGUAGCAAAGGAAAGGCCAAGC
This 432-nucleotide long non-coding RNA is filed under the name Rosa chinensis. RNAcentral's name for it is "sRNA RchiOBHm_Chr7g0207291". Lineage: Eukaryota; Viridiplantae; Streptophyta; Magnoliopsida; Rosales; Rosaceae. The record is from RNAcentral.